ACGUUAGCGGCGGACGGGUGAGUAACACGUGGGUAACCUACCUAUAAGACUGGGAUAACUCCGGGAAACCGGGGCUAAUACCGGAUAAUACAUGAAACCGCAUGGUUUCAUGAUGAAAGACGGUUUUGCUGUCACUUAUAGAUGGACCCGCGGCGUAUUAGCUAGUUGGUAAGGUAACGGCUUACCAAGGCAACGAUACGUAGCCGACCUGAGAGGGUGAUCGGCCACACUGGAACUGAGACACGGUCCAGACUCCUACGGGAGGCAGCAGGA
Molecule: ribosomal RNA, 273 nt
Filed under: uncultured Staphylococcus sp.
Lineage: Bacteria; Bacillati; Bacillota; Bacilli; Caryophanales; Staphylococcaceae
Description: partial 16S ribosomal RNA
Rfam family: Bacterial small subunit ribosomal RNA
Source: RNAcentral